This 504-nucleotide ribosomal RNA is filed under the name uncultured bacterium. Its description in RNAcentral is "partial 16S ribosomal RNA". It matches the Rfam family "Bacterial small subunit ribosomal RNA", at positions 28 to 506 of the family's 1533-position model. The record is from RNAcentral.
GACGAACGCUGGCGGCGUGCCUAAUACAUGCAAGUAGAACGCACAGUUUAUACCGUAGCUUGCUACACCAUAGACUGUGAGUUGCGAACGGGUGAGUAACGCGUAGGUAACCUGCCUGGUAGCGGGGGAUAACUAUUGGAAACGCUAGCUAAUACCGCAUAAUAUUGAUUAUUGCAUGAUAAUUGACUGAAAGAUGCUAUUGCAUCACUACCAGAUGGACCUGCGUUGUAUUAGCUAGUAGGUGAGGUAACGGCUCACCUAGGCGACGAUACAUAGCCGACCUGAGAGGGUGAUCGGCCACACUGGGACUGAGACACGGCCCAGACUCCUACGGGAGGCAGCAGUAGGGAAUCUUCGGCAAUGGACGAAAGUCUGACCGAGCAACGCCGCGUGAGUGAAGAAGGUUUUCGGAUCGUAAAGCUCUGUUGUAAGAGAAGAACGGGUGUGAGAGUGGAAAGUGCACACUGGGACGGUAUCUUACCAGAAAGGGACGGCGAACUACGU